GCUUCGUCGGGCCGGAGACCAUGGAGACGAAGAUCUUCGGCCGCCUGACCGCGUGGCAGAACUGGAUUUUCCAGCGGCCGAACGCGGUCGGACCGAAGGGCGCCUUGACGGCCUACGGCACGUCGGAUCGCGCCGAGUUUGAUUACGGACGCACGUAGCACUCAGCACCAGAGCACAGACAUGAUCUCUUCAGAGAAGAUCCCCAACAACGUCGAUCUCCAUCUCAACAAGCGCCUGCAGCGCGCGCUCGAGCACUGGCAGCCCGCCUACAUCCAGUGGUGGAAGGACAUGGGGCCGCAGGGGUUCCAGGAAUAUCACCAGGUGUACGUGCGCACCGCGGUGAGCGUCGAUCCCUCCGGAUGGGCGCAUUUCGAGUACGUGCGGCUGCCGGAGUAUCGCUGGGGGAUCUUUCUCGCCGACCCGGUCGUCAAUCGCACCAUCGGCUUCGGCGAUUUCUUCGGCCAGCCGGUGUGGCAGGAAGUCCCGGGCGAAUUCCGCAAUCAGCUCCGUCGGCUGAUCGUCACCCAGGGUGACACCGAACCGGCCAGCGUCGAACAGCAGCGCUGGCUCGGCCACCGCUGCCCGAGCAUCUACGAUCUGCGCAACCUCUUCCAGGUCAACGUCGAGGAAGGGCGGCAUCUCUGGGCGAUGGUCUACCUCCUGCACUCGUACUUCGGCCGCGACGGCCGCGACGAGGCCGAGGACCUGCUCGCGCGUCAGAGCGGCAAUCGCGACAAGCCGCGCAUUCUCGAUGCCUUCAACGAGCCGAUCGACACCUGGCUCGACUUCUUCAUGUUCACGAUGUUCACCGACCGCGACGGCAAGUCCCAGCUGUUGUCGCUCUCGGAAAGCUCGCUCGAUCCGCUGUCGCGGACGACGCGCUUCAUGCUGACCGAAGAAGCGCAUCACAUGUUCGUCGGCGAGACCGGGAUCGCGCGGAUCAUCGAGCGCACCUGCGAGCACAUGAAGGUCGCCGGGUUUUCCGAGGACGUCCGCAAGCUUGGCGGGAUCGACCUCGACACGAUUCAGCGGUUCAUCAACCUGUGGUUCUCGCUCAGCCUCGACCUGCAUGGCAACGAGAUCUCGACCAACGCGGCCUCGUACUUUGCCAACGGGCUCAAGGGCCGCGCCGAAGAAG
RNAcentral lists this unclassified non-coding RNA (1138 nucleotides) under uncultured fungus. RNAcentral's name for it is "sequence contains 18S rRNA gene, ITS1, 5.8S rRNA gene, ITS2, 28S rRNA gene". Lineage: Eukaryota; Fungi. The record is from RNAcentral.